GGUGCCCCGGAAUAUCAGGAGGACGCAUUCGUUUUACGCAUGCGUCCUCGUGAUACUUCCGGUCAUUC
RNAcentral lists this microRNA precursor (68 nucleotides) under Nematostella vectensis (starlet sea anemone). RNAcentral describes it as "microRNA nve-mir-9442 precursor". Lineage: Eukaryota; Metazoa; Cnidaria; Anthozoa; Actiniaria; Edwardsiidae. The record is from miRBase by way of RNAcentral.